AGAACUUAUAAAUUGGAUGGUGAUUGACUACUAAUCCCAGUGAUGACUGAACCUAGUGAUAUUCUGAACAAAAAGAGCUCUUAACCAUGCUUGUAGCUGUUUCCAUCACUUCUCACUGAUUCAGCAAACAUUCUGGGCUUCAGAUUGACAUUCAAACAUAGUCACAAUUCUGGAA
Dermochelys coriacea (leatherback sea turtle) is the source of this 175-nucleotide long non-coding RNA. RefSeq lists it as uncharacterized. The record is from RefSeq and is a predicted model, not a curated record. The transcript has 4 exons. Lineage: Eukaryota; Metazoa; Chordata; Testudines; Dermochelyidae.